GACAGAGGGUGCAAACGUUGUUCGGAAUUACUGGGCGUAAAGAGCGCGCAGGCGGUCGAUCAAGUCGAGUGUGAAAGCCCCCGGCUCAACUGGGGAGGGUCAUUCGAAACUGGUCGACUCGAAGGCAGGAGAGGGUAGUGGAAUUCCCGGUGUAGUGGUGAAAUGCGUAGAUAUCGGGAGGAACACCAGUGGCGAAGGCGACUACCUGGCCUGUUCUUGACGCUGAGGCGCGAAAGCUAGGGGAGCAAACGGG
RNAcentral lists this ribosomal RNA (253 nucleotides) under uncultured bacterium. RNAcentral's name for it is "partial 16S ribosomal RNA". It matches the Rfam family "Bacterial small subunit ribosomal RNA", at positions 524 to 776 of the family's 1533-position model. The record is from RNAcentral.